Molecule: long non-coding RNA, 717 nt
Organism: Mesocricetus auratus (golden hamster)
Lineage: Eukaryota; Metazoa; Chordata; Mammalia; Rodentia; Cricetidae
Exons: 3
Source: RefSeq, a predicted model, not a curated record
AGGGUAGGUGCUAUAGAUCACACUAGAUUCUGUGUUGCAAGCAGCAGAAGUCUGGGACCCUAGUAUAUGACAUAGUGCUGCUGACAUCCAAAAUGCAUCUUUCCUUCUUGAUUAAACAUCUCUGGAAAUGGCCGCAAAACACCAAAUGGAAGUGUGUUUCUCCUAUGCAACUUUAAAUCCAGCCAGGGCCACAACUGUCAGUAAAAGGAAUCUUUCCUGUUUGUCUACCAGAGCUGUGAUCUCAAGGGGACAAAGCUGGCAAGGACAAGGCCGAUGGCUGCUAUGUGUCACACAUUGCGGAUAGCAUCACUCCCUGACAGAGAGAACUUCAUGAUGUGUUGCUUCUUGCUUCCCUUUGUUUGGCUGCUAAAAUGUAAUACCAAGAACUCACUGUUGUUGUCCUUGGUGUUCUUCCUAUAUUUCAGGGCUUAAUGAUGCCACAACAUUGAUCCUGUGAAUCUGUGUGUGAGGACGGUUUUUCCAUCGUCUAGUGUCUAUUUCAACAUUUCUCAUUGGAGAAAUCUUUCACAUCCUUGGUUUUGUUUAUUCCUAGAUAUAUUGUUGCUUCCAUUUUUGUUUUGAGAUUACAAUAUAACUAGAUUAUUUCUCUUGUUCCUCUUUUUAUAACUCCCACAUAGCCCUUCUUGUUCUCUUUCAAUUUUAUGGCCUAUUUUUCAUUAAUUAUUGUUAAAUGCAUAUAAUAUGCAUAUAUAUAUG